GUACGAUUGGAUGUUCAGUCGGUAGAACAGGAGACUCUUAAUCUCAGGGUUGUGGGUUCGAGCCUCACAUUGGGCA
Molecule: non-coding RNA, 76 nt
Organism: Podarcis lilfordi (Lilford's wall lizard)
Lineage: Eukaryota; Metazoa; Chordata; Lepidosauria; Squamata; Lacertidae
Source: the annotation of a GenBank genome assembly